Molecule: ribosomal RNA, 1055 nt
Filed under: Salmonella enterica subsp. enterica serovar Newport
Lineage: Bacteria; Pseudomonadati; Pseudomonadota; Gammaproteobacteria; Enterobacterales; Enterobacteriaceae
Description: partial 23S ribosomal RNA
Rfam family: Bacterial large subunit ribosomal RNA
Source: RNAcentral
ACCAUGCACCGAAGCUGCGGCAGCGAACGUAUCACUUAAAGCGAUUCAGCGGGUUACGAUUGACGGAGCGAAGCGACGUCAAAGCGUAUACAAAGUCGAGUCGGUUUAAGGAUACGUUCGUUGGGUAGGGGAGCGUUCUGUAAGCCUGUGAAGGUGUGUCGUGAGGCAUGCUGGAGGUAUCAGAAGUGCGAAUGCUGACAUAAGUAACGAUAAAGCGGGUGAAAAGCCCGCUCGCCGGAAGACCAAGGGUUCCUGUCCAACGUUAAUCGGGGCAGGGUGAGUCGACCCCUAAGGCGAGGCCGAAAGGCGUAGUCGAUGGGAAACGGGUUAAUAUUCCCGUACUUGGUGUUACUGCGAAGGGGGGACGGAGAAGGCUAUGUUGGCCGGGCGACGGUUGUCCCGGUUUAAGCGUGUAGGUGUGUGUUCCAGGUAAAUCCGGUUCACUUUAACACUGAGGCGUGACGACGAGGCACUACGGUGCUGAAGCAACAAAUGCCCUGCUUCCAGGAAAAGCCUCUAAGCAUCAGGUAACAUCAAAUCGUACCCCAAACCGACACAGGUGGUCAGGUAGAGAAUACCAAGGCGCUUGAGAGAACUCGGGUGAAGGAACUAGGCAAAAUGGUGCCGUAACUUCGGGAGAAGGCACGCUGACACGUAGGUGAAGUGAUUUACUCAUGGAGCUGAAGUCAGUCGAAGAUACCAGCUGGCUGCAACUGUUUAUUAAAAACACAGCACUGUGCAAACACGAAAGUGGACGUAUACGGUGUGACGCCUGCCCGGUGCCGGAAGGUUAAUUGAUGGGGUCAGCGCAAGCGAAGCUCCUGAUCGAAGCCCCGGUAAACGGCGGCCGUAACUAUAACGGUCCUAAGGUAGCGAAAUUCCUUGUCGGGUAAGUUCCGACCUGCACGAAUGGCGUAAUGAUGGCCAGGCUGUCUCCACCCGAGACUCAGUGAAAUUGAACUCGCUGUGAAGAUGCAGUGUACCCGCGGCAAGACGGAAAGACCCCGUGAACCUUUACUAUAGCUUGACACUGAACAUUGAGCCUUGAUGUGUAG